This 253-nucleotide ribosomal RNA is filed under the name uncultured bacterium. RNAcentral's name for it is "partial 16S ribosomal RNA". It matches the Rfam family "Bacterial small subunit ribosomal RNA", at positions 524 to 776 of the family's 1533-position model. The record is from RNAcentral.
UACGGGGGGUGCGAGCGUUGUCCGGAAUCACUGGGCGUAAAGGGCGCGUAGGUGGUUUGAUAAGGGUGUGGUGAAAGUCCGGGGCUCAACCCCGGAUCUGCCGUGCCGACUGUCAAACUCGAGGACUGUAGAGGCAGACGGAAUUCCGGGUGUAGCGGUGGAAUGCGUAGAGAUCCAGAGGAAGACCGGUGGCGAAGGCGGUCUGCUGGGCAGUUUCUGACACUGAGGCGCGACAGCGUGGGGAGCAAACAGG